This 450-nucleotide ribosomal RNA is filed under the name Triticum aestivum (bread wheat). Its description in RNAcentral is "partial small subunit ribosomal RNA". Lineage: Eukaryota; Viridiplantae; Streptophyta; Magnoliopsida; Poales; Poaceae. The record is from RNAcentral.
AUGGACCUGGACGGCUUCCCUCUCGACCAUGAGUUUCUGGAGGACUACGGGCUAGAGGAAGAGGACGAGUGCGACAUCGAAGGGGAGCCUUUGUUCGAGGACGAGCUCACCAACAAAGCCGCCGGUCCAAAGCCGAAGCGCAAGAGCAAGCGGACCAAGGCAUACAUGGCGGCCGAGGACAAGCUUCUUUGAGAGUGUUGGAGAGACAUUGGGCAAGACCCCAAGACGGGCGCCGAACAAAAGCAUUCAAACUUUUGGAUUCGUGUCCACCGUGAGUUCCAUGAGCGCAAGAAGUUUCUGUCAUACCAAAUAGUAAGCGCACGCGGGUGGGUGUCCAUUUCGAAGCGAUGGAGGGUGAUCCGACAAGAGUGCAACAAGUUUUGUGCCACUCUUGAGAGCGUCAAGGCCCGCCCCGUGAGCGUCAUCGGCAUGCAAGACAUGGUAUGCUAG